AGAAUCAACGCUGGCGGCGUGCCUAACACAUGCAAGUCGAACGAGAAAGGGGAGCAAUCCCUGAGUAAAGUGGCGACCGGGUGAGUAACACGUGACUAACCUACCCUCGAGUGUGGAAUAACAUCGGGAAACCGAUGCUAAUACCGCAUAACAUCGGCGCUUUUAAGAGAUGCCGAUCAAAGGAGCAAUCCGCUUGAGGAGGGGGUCGCGGCUGAUUAGCUAGUUGGCGGGGUAACGGCCCACCAAGGCGAAGAUCGGUAGCCGGCCUGAGAGGGCGCACGGCCACACUGGAACUGAAACACGGUCCAGACUCCUACGGAGGCAGCAGUGGGGAAUUUUGCGCAAUGGGGGAAACCCUGACGCAGCAACGCCGCGUGGAGGAUGAAGCCCCUUGGGGCGUAAACUCCUUUCGACCAAGACGAUAAUGACGGUACUGGUGGAAGAGCACCGGCUAACUCUGCGCCAGCAGCCGC
This 473-nucleotide ribosomal RNA is filed under the name uncultured bacterium. Its description in RNAcentral is "SSU rRNA". It matches the Rfam family "Bacterial small subunit ribosomal RNA", at positions 26 to 518 of the family's 1533-position model. The record is from RNAcentral.